This 253-nucleotide ribosomal RNA is filed under the name uncultured bacterium. RNAcentral describes it as "partial 16S ribosomal RNA". It matches the Rfam family "Bacterial small subunit ribosomal RNA", at positions 524 to 776 of the family's 1533-position model. The record is from RNAcentral.
UACGGAGGAUGCAAGCGUUAUCCGGAAUGAUUGGGCGUAAAGCGUCCGCAGGUGGCUGUGUAAGUCUGCUGUUAAAGAGUGAGGCUCAACCUCAUAAAGGCAGUGGAAACUACAUGGCCAGAGUGCGUUCGGGGCAGAGGGAAUUCCUGGUGUAGCGGUGAAAUGCGUAGAGAUCAGGAAGAGCACCGGUGGCGAAAGCGCUCUACUGGACCUUAUCUGACAUUGAGGGACGAAAGCUAGGGGAGCGAAUGGG